Molecule: long non-coding RNA, 884 nt
Filed under: Lynx pardinus (Iberian lynx)
Lineage: Eukaryota; Metazoa; Chordata; Mammalia; Carnivora; Felidae
Source: RNAcentral
CUUUGAGCCAUAUGUGCAAGACUGUACACAUUUCCACACCUAAACCAAAAGCAAAAAAUGCAGGUUUUCUUUUAGGCCAUAGGGCUAAGAACCAUUUGCCUUCAAUGUUAAAAACAUCCUUCUUUGUUUGGCAUAUCUGGAUAAGGUAGCUUAAAUUUUCAUGUACUACUUAAUUCAAGCAAUAACUUCUAACUCAUUUUCUUCUUUUAGCUCUUUGGGCCUUGGUGAUUGGCACGAUCUCGGAGAACAGACAGGUAUAUAGCAAAACUCUCCUAGAAACCUGGAAAAUGUGGGGAGGAAAAGGCAUGGAACCUUCUCUGUAUAAGCCUAUGAGAGAAAAGGAAUCACUUCAAUUUACAAGGAAAGAAACUGAGACUAAAGAGCUAUCCAAGACCAUAUAGCCAGCUGACCCAGCAUAUUCUGAGCUGAGUCUAUGUUCUUUCUAAGACUUAAUACUACCUUUCUCAGAGUCUAUCAACCUAAAAAUCAUGUUUAAAGAAGUGAUCUAUGGUAUCACCAUUUGUACCAAAAUGAUAUCACACACCCUGUGUGAUAUCUUCCUAACAAAUCUAUCUUUGCCCAAGAGGGAGUUCUAAUAUUACUCAUCAAUAACCCUGGCUUUGUAACAUCUGAAUUUUUUUUGUUUUACCUUCUCAGUUUUAUUAAACUGAGAUCAAAAUAAACCUCAUUUUUUUUACCAGUUUAUAAUCAUUUUAUUAUGAACCUGCAGUAGGGCUUAUUAUUUACAAAUCACUAAGUGAAAUUUUUAAAAACCAUUUUCUUCCUCUAAUCUCUCCCAUCCUGCUUUCUUAGAAGUACACAAAGCAUUUCAACCACUCCCAAAUUCCCUCUUGAUACCCUUAAUGAUUCUGAAAUAUUUUGUU